AGAGCGAACGCUGGCGGCAGGCUUAACACAUGCAAGUCGAACGCACUCUUCGGAGUGAGUGGCAGACGGGUGAGUAACACGUGGGAACGUACCCUUCGGUUCGGAAUAACUCAGGGAAACUUGAGCUAAUACCGGAUACGCCCUUACGGGGAAAGGUUUACUGCCGAAGGAUCGGCCCGCGUCUGAUUAGCUAGUUGGUGAGGUAACGGCUCACCAAGGCGACGAUCAGUAGCUGGUCUGAGAGGAUGAUCAGCCACACUGGGACUGAGACACGGCCCAGACUCCUACGGGAGGCAGCAGUGGGGAAUAUUGGACAAUGGGCGAAAGCCUGAUCCAGCCAUGCCGCGUGAGUGAUGAAGGCCUUAGGGUUGUAAAGCUCUUUGUCCGGGAAGAUAAUGACUGUACCGGAAGAAUAAGCCCGGCUAACUUCGCGCCAGCAGCCGC
Molecule: ribosomal RNA, 444 nt
Filed under: uncultured bacterium
Lineage: Bacteria
Description: SSU rRNA
Rfam family: Bacterial small subunit ribosomal RNA
Source: RNAcentral